Molecule: transfer RNA, 72 nt
Filed under: Bacillus subtilis
Lineage: Bacteria; Bacillati; Bacillota; Bacilli; Caryophanales; Bacillaceae
Description: tRNA-Glu
Rfam family: tRNA
About the family: Transfer RNA (tRNA) molecules are approximately 80 nucleotides in length. Their secondary structure includes four short double-helical elements and three loops (D, anti-codon, and T loops). Further hydrogen bonds mediate the characteristic L-shaped molecular structure. tRNAs have two regions of fundamental functional importance: the anti-codon, which is responsible for specific mRNA codon recognition, and the 3' end, to which the tRNAs corresponding amino acid is attached (by aminoacyl-tRNA synthetases). tRNAs cope with the degeneracy of the genetic code in two manners: having more than one tRNA (with a specific anti-codon) for a particular amino acid; and 'wobble' base-pairing, i.e. permitting non-standard base-pairing at the 3rd anti-codon position.
Source: RNAcentral
GGCCCGUUGGUCAAGCGGUUAAGACACCGCCCUUUCACGGCGGUAACACGGGUUCGAAUCCCGUGCGGGUCA